This 850-nucleotide ribosomal RNA is filed under the name Escherichia coli. Its description in RNAcentral is "partial 23S ribosomal RNA". It matches the Rfam family "Bacterial large subunit ribosomal RNA", at positions 1948 to 2797 of the family's 2925-position model. Lineage: Bacteria; Pseudomonadati; Pseudomonadota; Gammaproteobacteria; Enterobacterales; Enterobacteriaceae. The record is from RNAcentral.
GUCCUAAGGUAGCGAAAUUCCUUGUCGGGUAAGUUCCGACCUGCACGAAUGGCGUAAUGAUGGCCAGGCUGUCUCCACCCGAGACUCAGUGAAAUUGAACUCGCUGUGAAGAUGCAGUGUACCCGCGGCAAGACGGAAAGACCCCGUGAACCUUUACUAUAGCUUGACACUGAACAUUGAGCCUUGAUGUGUAGGAUAGGUGGGAGGCUUUGAAGUGUGGACGCCAGUCUGCAUGGAGCCGACCUUGAAAUACCACCCUUUAAUGUUUGAUGUUCUAACGUUGGCCCGUAAUCCGGGUUGCGGACAGUGUCUGGUGGGUAGUUUGACUGGGGCGGUCUCCUCCUAAAGAGUAACGGAGGAGCACGAAGGUUGGCUAAUCCUGGUCGGACAUCAGGAGGUUAGUGCAAUGGCAUAAGCCAGCUUGACUGCGAGCGUGACGGCGCGAGCAGGUGCGAAAGCAGGUCAUAGUGAUCCGGUGGUUCUGAAUGGAAGGGCCAUCGCUCAACGGAUAAAAGGUACUCCGGGGAUAACAGGCUGAUACCGCCCAAGAGUUCAUAUCGACGGCGGUGUUUGGCACCUCGAUGUCGGCUCAUCACAUCCUGGGGCUGAAGUAGGUCCCAAGGGUAUGGCUGUUCGCCAUUUAAAGUGGUACGCGAGCUGGGUUUAGAACGUCGUGAGACAGUUCGGUCCCUAUCUGCCGUGGGCGCUGGAGAACUGAGGGGGGCUGCUCCUAGUACGAGAGGACCGGAGUGGACGCAUCACUGGUGUUCGGGUUGUCAUGCCAAUGGCACUGCCCGGUAGCUAAAUGCGGAAGAGAUAAGUGCUGAAAGCAUCUAAGCACGAAACUUGC